Molecule: ribosomal RNA, 250 nt
Filed under: uncultured bacterium
Lineage: Bacteria
Description: partial 16S ribosomal RNA
Rfam family: Bacterial small subunit ribosomal RNA
Source: RNAcentral
UAGGGAAUAUUGCUCAAUGGGGGAAACCCUGAAGCAGCAACGCCGCGUGGAGGAUGAAGGUUUUAGGAUUGUAAACUCCUUUUGUUAGAGAAGAUAAUGACGGUAUCUAACGAAUAAGCACCGGCUAACUCCGUGCCAGCAGCCGCGGUAAUACGGAGGGUGCAAGCGUUACUCGGAAUCACUGGGCGUAAAGAGCGCGUAGGCGGGAUAGUCAGUCAGGUGUGAAAUCCUAUGGCUUAACCAUAGAACU